Molecule: ribosomal RNA, 662 nt
Filed under: Bacillus licheniformis
Lineage: Bacteria; Bacillati; Bacillota; Bacilli; Caryophanales; Bacillaceae
Description: bacterial SSU rRNA
Rfam family: Bacterial small subunit ribosomal RNA
Source: RNAcentral
GCUACCACUUACAGAUGGACCCGCGGCGCAUUAGCUAGUUGGUGAGGUAACGGCUCACCAAGGCGACGAUGCGUAGCCGACCUGAGAGGGUGAUCGGCCACACUGGGACUGAGACACGGCCCAGACUCCUACGGGAGGCAGCAGUAGGGAAUCUUCCGCAAUGGACGAAAGUCUGACGGAGCAACGCCGCGUGAGUGAUGAAGGUUUUCGGAUCGUAAAACUCUGUUGUUAGGGAAGAACAAGUACCGUUCGAAUAGGGCGGUACCUUGACGGUACCUAACCAGAAAGCCACGGCUAACUACGUGCCAGCAGCCGCGGUAAUACGUAGGUGGCAAGCGUUGUCCGGAAUUAUUGGGCGUAAAGCGCGCGCAGGCGGUUUCUUAAGUCUGAUGUGAAAGCCCCCGGCUCAACCGGGGAGGGUCAUUGGAAACUGGGGAACUUGAGUGCAGAAGAGGAGAGUGGAAUUCCACGUGUAGCGGUGAAAUGCGUAGAGAUGUGGAGGAACACCAGUGGCGAAGGCGACUCUCUGGUCUGUAACUGACGCUGAGGCGCGAAAGCGUGGGGAGCGAACAGGAUUAGAUACCCUGGUAGUCCACGCCGUAAACGAUGAGUGCUAAGUGUUAGAGGGUUUCCGCCCUUUAGUGCUGCAGCAAACGCAUUAA